UCCGGUUUGUCACCGGCAGUCUCAUUAGAGUGCCCUUGCGUAGCAACUAAUGAUAAGGGUUGCGCUCGUUGCGGGACUUAACCCAACAUCUCACGACACGAGCUGACGACAGCCAUGCAGCACCUGUGUUCAGGUUCUCUUUCGAGCACGAAGCCAUCUCUGGCGACUUCCUGACAUGUCAAGGGUAGGUAAGGUUUUUCGCGUUGCAUCGAAUUAAUCCACAUCAUCCACCGCUUGUGCGGGUCCCCGUCAAUUCCUUUGAGUUUUAAUCUUGCGACCGUACUCCCCAGUUCUCAUCGUUUACAGCGUGGACUAC
Molecule: unclassified non-coding RNA, 316 nt
Filed under: uncultured Gammaproteobacteria bacterium
Lineage: Bacteria; Pseudomonadati; Pseudomonadota; Gammaproteobacteria
Description: contains 16S-23S intergenic spacer region
Source: RNAcentral